This is a long non-coding RNA of Sapajus apella (tufted capuchin), 1159 nucleotides long. RefSeq lists it as uncharacterized. The transcript has 3 exons. NCBI's taxonomy places the organism in Eukaryota, Metazoa, Chordata, Mammalia, Primates, Cebidae. The record is from RefSeq and is a predicted model, not a curated record.
UGACCUCGUGAUCCACCCGCCUCCCAAAGUGCUAGGAUUACAGGCAUGAGCCACUGUGCCCGGCCUAUUUACUUUUUUUUAAAGAGAUUUAUUUCAGAAACAUAAAAACAUGACCGAACCCUUCAUCGGCCAAUAAAAUAGGCAAAAAUAACAUACAUACAUACAAACUCAUGCACGUUAGCAACAGGCUCACAGGCGUGAGAGCCACCAGCAGAUGAACUGUGCUCAUGAUGAGCUGGGUGAGGAGGGGAACUCACACGUGUGCGUAGGAGGUGAGACGGGGAACACGCAUGUGCAUAGGAGGUGAGACAGGGAACGCGUGUGCGUAGGAGGUGAGAAGGGGUAACAUGCGUGUGCGUAGGUGAGAUGGGGAACACACGUGUGCAUAGGAGGUGAGACGGGGAACACACAUGUGCAUAGGUGAGAAGGGGUAACACGCGUGUGCGUAGGAGGUGAGACGGGGAACACGCGUGUGCAUAGGAGGUGAGAAGGGGUAACGCGUGUGCGUAGGAGGUGAGAGGGGUAACGCGUGUGCGUAGGAGGUGAGACGGGGAACUCGCGUGUGCGUAGGAGGUGAGACGGGAACUCGCGUGUGCGUAGGUGAGACGGGGAGCACGCACGUGCAUGAGAGACCGUGGCUGGUGGCUGUGUGCACCUGCCUUUAUAGCUGCAGCCAUCAGAACACCAGGAUGAACAACCCGUCCUCUAAGCAGCUCCGUCAAAGGCGCAGGGGACACCACGUGUGCCGCCGCCCAGAGAGGCAGGGUCUCAAACAGCUUCUCUCUCAGAAAGGCAGAGGACAAAAAGGCCACCUCCUCCUUUACUGAGGAAGUCCCAGGACUGUGCCUCUCUGGAUUAGGGUCCAGCCCCCCGGGCAGCCUCACCUUCAGAUCAGCAGGGGAAGCCUGCCUGGGGGAGGUGAGGAAGGAGGCUCAGAGUUUGCAGGGGGAGCCCCCACAGGGUGGGGAGGGGGCUGAGAAGCAGGAGGGAAGUAACCAGGGCACUCUGCACAGUUCAGAAGAGAGGUGGGGGUGCGACCCCGCAUCCGCUCAGCACCCACCAGACCUGAGUGUGGAGACCUGGGCACCCCACUGCCCUCCCCCGGAGGGGGCGGCUGGGUGGGGCUGGGUGCGAAAGCUGCCCUGCACUGCUGAGGGAC